This is a long non-coding RNA of Papilio polytes (common Mormon), 406 nucleotides long. RefSeq lists it as uncharacterized. NCBI's taxonomy places the organism in Eukaryota, Metazoa, Arthropoda, Insecta, Lepidoptera, Papilionidae. The transcript has 4 exons. The record is from RefSeq and is a predicted model, not a curated record.
AAAUAAUUGGUAGCAUUAUGUGGUGUCAAGGAAAAAUAUUUCAUGAAACUCAUACAAAAACAAUCAAGAAUAUAUUGAAUAUCGUCACACGUUGUAUAUUCUUUAAUUAAAACUAUUUUAACAAAAGAACCAGUCUCAUUGAAGUAGGAAUAUAUUCUCAUCUAGAAGGCUAAUGAUCUUCUCAAUUUGUCCGGCGCGUGCCGCACGCAGGAACGCCGUGCUGGCAUCCGCCUGUUAACGUAAAAGUUGGCGGAGAAAGAAAUGGAUUUCGUGAAAGAAGACAUACCCAAGAAAUGUUAAUUGAUUCAAUAGGGAUGCUGAGGGACAUCUGUGUGAUAAAACGCUUCUAUAAGUAACCGACGUACCCACAACAGGUCCAAAACUAGAAAAUUCUGUCAUCGGAAGA